Vidua macroura (Pin-tailed whydah) is the source of this 1646-nucleotide long non-coding RNA. RefSeq lists it as uncharacterized. The record is from RefSeq and is a predicted model, not a curated record. Lineage: Eukaryota; Metazoa; Chordata; Aves; Passeriformes; Viduidae. The transcript has 2 exons.
ACUGUGGUAACUUGUUUGUUCAUCAAAAGAAUUGGAAUAUUAAAGGAGGAAAUAUAAAAAUUAAAGUAUAAGGGACUAGCCUGCUUGUUAGGAGAUAGGGGAGGACAAUAAAAAAGCAACUGCUACAAACCGCAAGGCUAUAGACAUAUUGCAAAACCGCAAGAUCACAAGUAUGAUUAAUCACCAUAUAGGGAGCUUUUCGUAGCUUUUUUGCAGACACAGGCUAAGGAUGUCGGGGGAUGGCCGGAGCUGAUUAUGAAAUCAGCGACCACCAGGCAACGGCUACCGGACUAGACAACGUAGGAGUGCUCCAGGUACGCCCAUCACUGUCCGGAGCCGAUUGUGAAAUCAGCGAUCACCUGCCUCGACACAAUGCAGAAACGACGCAGAGAGAUGCUCAAGCUACGCACACCGCUAUCGCAAAAGACACGAAUGAAGAAACCUCCAAGAAACUAUAAAAAGAAACUGAAUAAGGGAGUGGGGUGUGGGGCACUGCAGUGUGGGACACUGCAGGAGGGGCGGUUAGGAGACCCCUACCCACCCAGCGCUGUUUUGCUUGCUACUGCUUGCUGUAAUUAAUAAAAUUCUAAUUGACCUUAAAAAGGCUGAAUCAAAUUAUUCGCCUCAAUUUAUCACAAUCUGGUGCCGUGACUCGGAUAAAGGAAACCCGGGAGGGAGGCCCCACUAGGGUGAGGCGCCCCACCGCCUUUUUGCGGUGGACCUAAGGGGGGGCUUCCUCCUUGGGCCUUUACCGACGAACCUAAAACUCAGUAGCAAGCAAAGGUACCCCCGUUAAUCUUUGUGCACGAAGAACCGCGGAAGAGUGAACACGCAGGAAGCAAACGGCAGUCAGGACAGCCGAAAAGGGGUGGACUCACGCCAGCCGAGUGAAAGGCCCGGUUGCCACAAAUAACCAGUGGAGAGUGACUAGCCAGCCUGGGAACUUGAAAGUGACUCUUAAGAAAAACUAAUGAACUCUGUGGACAUUAUCCAAAUCAACCAUAAGGGGAAGCAAAGGGAUACAAUUACAAACUAGCUAAAGACUAUAUAGUGAUUGGUAAUAAGGAAGGUUGUGGAGAUUGUUAUCCUUUUGUGUGCUUUAUAUGUAAAAUUUGCCAAGAACGGUGGUGGGUCCAUUGCCAGAGGGGAAGACCACCAAUUGGGGUUUGUACUGAGUGCUAUAAAACUCAGCGAAAACUAACUGAAACUGUGCUAAGGAUAGGAGAAUUGGAAAAUCGGUGGGUCAGUUUUGGAUCUGAGUGGUGGGAAAUAUUCUUGUUUUCAUACUAACGAGCCCACUCCAUUUGCUGCUCAGAUAAUAAAAGGGUGUUGUCGAAAGGAACUGAAGGGGAUUCCUUGCAACCCACCUCUGGUCAAAGAUAAGAACUGGGAACAGUACAAGGCUAGGCAGGAGCGGAAAAGGGGACGCUCAGGCGAGUACUGCUGCUGCCGAGAAGAUGGUUUACCUCGCGGCUCGAAGCACCCGAGUCGGCGAGCGAGGCAGAGAGGAAAAGGCCAAGCCCCCUCUAAGUGGAACAAUGCUGAAAUGCUCCAACUAUUGCCAGCCGAGUACUAGGAUCCCUCAAAGGACCAGUCUAAGUGCCUCCGAAACACCAAGGGAGCAGCAAGCCAAAAAGGGGAAAACA